GGGUGCAUGGUCUAGAGGUAUGAUUCCUGCUUUGGGUCGCUCGCGAAUGACGUAGAAUCCUUUGCAGGAGGUCCCCGGUUCAAUCCCGGGUGCACCCC
Collybiopsis luxurians FD-317 M1 is the source of this 98-nucleotide non-coding RNA. Lineage: Eukaryota; Fungi; Basidiomycota; Agaricomycetes; Agaricales; Omphalotaceae. The record is from the annotation of a GenBank genome assembly.